Molecule: ribosomal RNA, 468 nt
Filed under: uncultured bacterium
Lineage: Bacteria
Description: partial 16S ribosomal RNA
Rfam family: Bacterial small subunit ribosomal RNA
Source: RNAcentral
GACGAACGCUGGCGGCGUGCUUAACACAUGCAAGUCGAACGGAAAGGCCCUGCUUUUGUGGGGUGCUCGAGUGGCGAACGGGUGAGUAACACGUGAGUAACCUGCCCUUGACUUUGGGAUAACUUCAGGAAACUGGGGCUAAUACCGGAUAGGAGCUCCUGCUGCAUGGUGGGGGUUGGAAAGUUUCGGCGGUUGGGGAUGGACUCGCGGCUUAUCAGCUUGUUGGUGGGGUGGUGGCUUACCAAGGCUUUGAUGGGUAGCCGGCCUGAGAGGGUGACCGGCCACAUUGGGACUGAGAUACGGCCCAGACUCCUACGGGAGGCAGCAGUGGGGAAUAUUGCACAAUGGGCGGAAGCCUGAUGCAGCAACUCCGCGUGCGGGAUGACGGCCUUCGGGUUGUAAACCGCUUUCGCCUGUGACGAAGCGUGAGUGACGGUAAUGGGUAAAGAAGCACCGGCUAACUACGUG